AUUUUUCCAUAGGUGUAGAAAAUAGCACCUGUUUGCAUUUGCUCCAGGGUUGCUGCAGAUUCUGCAGCAGUCUGAUAGUUAGGAUAUUAGCAGAGUUUGUAGCCAGUUCAGCAAAGUCUUUGCUGCUUGCAGCCUGCAAAUGUAUCAGUUUGUUCUGGAGACCACCCCUUUUUCUGGGGAAAGAAGGCUCCAUUUUGAGAAACCUUUUCUGCCUUCUAGACUGAAGAAGAAACAACUUAGAUGUGCUUGCGUGGCCAAGCCAGGCCAACUCUGAAAAGACCAUCAACAUCAGGCAGAUUUGCAUCAGGUGCAUCCUUUACUGCAAAAUGAAGAGGACCCCAAAGAUCUUCCCGCCAGACAUCCUGCUUCCUUGUGCAAGUCACAUCCUCUCAACCUCAGAGGAAAACAAAGGAAACACUCUCUCAACAAGUCUGUCGGAAACCCCUUAGAUAAGCUCACUUUUGGGUCCCACAUGCCCAUUUGUUGGGCAGCUUGACUUCCAAGGAUUUCAACAAUGUCAGACUAUCAAUAUAACUAAGGUCUCCAUAGCCGUGAUCACCUCGGAGGAGGAGGAGUCCAGAUCUUCAAUUGGAGGACUAGAGAAGAAGAGAAAACGGCAAAAUAUUAGCAACAGAACCCUGUGUAGCUAUUUUGAAGGAAGAAAAAAAACAACCAGAAGAGAAGGAGGAAGGGUUUACCUUAUUGGAUACACUUUGAUCUACCUCCUUCCCCGACAGCAAGUCAAACAAUUUCCGCAUAAUUUCCUGAUGUUCUGCAAAGGAGAAAGGAGAACAAGGUCAGAGGGAGCAAGAAGGAGUUGCCUUGAGAGAGGAGCUGUUGUAGGGCCAUUUCUCUUCCCAUGGGAGAUUCAACCCCAAAGGGCCCCAAACCUUUAUUCAGAUGGGCCGUUCCUCCCCACCCCAUAUCACUUUGAAAAGGGGGGAAAACAGCAUCCCUGACUUCUUCUGGUGAUCUAGUACCAGACACAAGGAAGGUUUUGUCCCAUGUUAGCGAAACAUAUUAUUGUACAAUAAUUACAAACGGAUUCCAUUAAAUGUUUAGAUUUAUCAUGCAGUACUGUAACUAAAAUUAGAUAAAAGAUUUCUUUAUUAUUUAUUUAUUUACUAUAUUUAUAUACCACCUUUUUCACUGUGGGGGGGGGGGGCUUAAGGCGGUUUACAACAUACUAAUGGGAAAAAUUCAAUGUCAACAUACAUGUAGAUAGAAAAAAAUCAUUAGACACUAAAACAUCACUAUAACUUAAAAUCAUUAUUUAAUUUAAAACAGAUAAUUUGAUAAUAAUGAUGAAGAUACACUUUUAAAGGUGAAGAUCUGGGAGAGGAAACUGGAAAACGGGAUAAUCUUCGAAGAAGAUACGAAUCUUGAAUUUAAUGUUUGGUGACAAUAUUAUUCCUCUCUUGGAGGAAUAUGUAGAGUUUUUGAUAUUUUAGGUAAUUUCUGUAAUUGUAAUUGAUAUGAAGAAGUAGAUGUAUUAAUAAUAACUUUGUACACUGACAGUUGUCUCUUCUUCCUCUCUUUAACUCCCUCCCUCCCUUUUUGCCACAUUAUUGGUAUUUCUAACAAUUUAAUGUGUUAACAAUAACUCUCCCCACCUUUCCCCCCAUGUUUAUUAACUUUUUUCUCUUUCCUGCUUUCCCUUUCCCUCUUCUUGUGUUGUAAAAAUGGGAAAUGUUAAUAAACAUAUUUUUUAAAAGUAGGCCUAAACAUCCAACACCAUAUUUUAAAGAAGUGUCUAAAAAUCCAACAUUUCCUGGGGGGGGGCAGCAUUUUUAAGGCUUGCAAAAUAGACUGACUUGGGCUGUUAAACAUUCAGAAACUUUUUACUACAAAGGGGGGAGGGUUUAAAACAUUUUAAAUUAGCUUACCUAAGUAGAGUAUAUCAUUACACAAUCACAUUAGAGAACAGAAAUGAAGAAGACAAAGAAAAGCUUAUCUAACUCCAGUACUUUCCUUGAGACACGAGGAGAGGUGGGUAUGGAAAUUAUUUUUAUUUUUAUUAGUAGUAGUAUUACUAAUACUAUUAAUUGAAAGGCCUCCAAAUAACUCUGGAGGCUUUCUGCUCCCCACCCUUCUUUUUUUUUUUUUUUUUUUUUUUUUUUUUGCAAAGAGGAGAAUGUCAUAGUGGCAAUUCUACCUUUAUUAACCCCCUAGUACCCAGGUUUUAAUUAAGGUUGUUUUGACCACUUUUUGGUCAUGGCUUGAGGGCCUCUACCAGUCCCUGGGCUCCCCAUGGGCCCGCCUUCUGCCCCACCAGUGCCAAAGGCCCAAGAACUUACUCUGAGAAGUCUUUGGAAAGACAUCUUUGUCUCUCUGCAACACAGGAAGACAAUAGAGGGCUACGUUCCGUUUUUUUUAUUGUGAAGUUUAUAAGCAACUAAUUUACAUUUCUUAUUACAAUAAAGAUUGUCUUUUCUCGAUAUAAUAAAAUACAUAAAUCACAGCUUACAACCAAUAUGCCAGGGUAAUGAGAGGGAAGGGUGGGUAUUGGGGAGAUGGGAAAAGGAUAGGGGAUAUGUGAUAUCGACACACAAAGUGAAUAGCAAUAUUGAAAAUAAGAAAUAAAAAUAAAAAAGACAUAAAAGAGAGAAAGAAAAAGAAAAAAAAAGCACACACACAAAAAAAGAGAAGCAAAAGUUUUACAUAUAAACAGUUGCUAUAUUGUCCUUGUUACUUCCAGAUCUCUGGAUGUGGUCCUUUUUGGGGUUUUUUCCCUUCAUUUGUUUUAUUUAUGUAGUUAAACCAAAUUUAACUACCUUUACUUUAUACUAUUUCCGCAUGUAAUUUCCUUAGUCCAACUUUAUAUAGAAAUUUAUUUUCUCUUUUUGUAAAAAUUCUUUCAUAGGUUUCCAAUCGGUUUUGUUUUAUGUUCUAUCCUGUGCUCAUUUUUGUGUUAAUAAGUCCAUAUUCAUCACGUCCAUUACUUUGUGGAGCCAUUUCUCCAUAGUAGGUAUUUCUUCUGAUUUCCAUACAUAUGCCAGCACUAUUCUCACUGCCACGGUGAGAUAGAAUAUUGGUCUGUCUGAAUUUUAUCUAUCUGUGUGUCAAUAAUCCCCAAUAAAAAGCAUUCCAGUUUUAAUUCGAUUUUUUGGUACAAUAUUAAUUACUUUUUUAUGUAUUUCUUUCCAAUUUUUUAUCUUCUUACAUUCCCACCACGUGUGUAGAAAGGUGCUGGUGUGCUUUCCGCAUUUCCAGCAUACUCCCUGGGUUUUCCCUCUAUUAACUUUAGCAAGCUUAUUUGGUGUCAAGUACCACAUAUGGAACAUUUUAUACCAGUUCUCUUUUAUUUCCGUAGCAUAGGCCUACCUAAACUUUUUUACCCAUAUCUCCUCCCAUUAGCGUAAAUAUAUAUUUUUUUAUUUAGUAUUUCCCUUUGUUCUUCGGUAAUUGUAUUAAUUUUUUGUUUUCCUAAAUAUUGCAUUAUGUUCUCGUUAGGGAUCUUUCCAUCACCAUAUAGUUUUUUGUAAUAGCUUAUGAAUUGUUUUUCUAUUUCAAUUUGUUUAAGAUAUAUUUUCCCCUCUUCCUCAAUUUUAUUUAUAUAGUGUUGAUGUUUCCUUUUUGUCACUUUCCAAGCUAGCCACCUUCCUAUCUUGUCUGCGUUUUCGAAAUGGUAUUGCUUUAUGUAUUUUAAUCUCUUUUCAAUUUCCUCCAACUGUGUUGUAUCCAUCUGUUUCUUCAAUACAUUCAGAUGUAAUUGAGCUUUAUUGUCUUUAGGGGUUUUUUUCAAUUUUACUUCGACUUCAGAGAUUUCUUUGUCUAACUUUUUGGUUUCACUUUUCCUUUUCUUAUCCCUAAUGAAUUUAUGUUGAAUGAAGUGUCCCCUCAUAUAUGCUUUGCUAGCAUCCCAUAUUGUUUCUAUCGCUGUUUCAUUUACUGAAUUGAGUGUGAAAUAUUCACUCAGUAUUUCCCUAUAUUUUAUUUGAUCUGUCUGUCCUGUAAGUAGCUGAUCAUUAAGUCGCUGUCUGUAUGUUGUCGCUCUAAGUCCGGGACUUCCUAAUGUUAUUUCUAAAGGUGCAUGAAAUUAAUCUUGGGAGAAUUUUUGAUUUAAUUAUCUUUGAUACUAUUUCUCUCAUUCCCCAAAUCGUAUCUAUUCUGGACCAUGAUUGAUGUCGGUCUGAAAAAAAAGUAUAGUUUUUCACUUUUGAGUUAAAAUAUCUCCAUACAUCAACUAAUCGGUGGUCCUCCUUAAAUAUUUUGAAACCUUUUGGAAGUUCACCUGCUGAUGGGAUCUUAGUAUUUUUAGCGGCUUUGGUUCUGUCCUGAGCUGCUUCUAAUACCCUGUUAAAAUCUCCCAUUAUGAUUAUGUCGUCGUAAUCUUGUUCUCCAAUUUUGGGAUUAAGUUAUUUUACAAAUUUUGUUUUUGUUCCAUUUGGAGCGUAUAUAUUACACAGCAGAAGCUUCCUGCCCCCCCCCCCCAUUCUAUAUUUAUUUCCAAUAUUCUGCCCUCUUGGUCUAAAUGCCAGUUUUGAAGGGAUUUUCUCAUUUAUGGCCCCUGGUGGGGGUGCAGUGUGUUAAAGCACUGAGCUGCUGAACUUGCAGACCGAAAGGUACCAGGUUCAAAUCCCAGGAGCGGAAUGAGCGCCCGCUGUUAGCCCCAGCUCCUGCCAACCUAGCAGUUCGAAAACAUGCCAAUGUGAGUAGAUCAAUAGGUGCCGCUCCGGCAGGAAGGUAAUGGCGCUCCAUGCAGUCAUGCCGGCCACAUGACCUUGGAGGUGUCUAUGGACAAUGCCGGCUCUUCGGCUUAGAAAUGGAGAUGAGCACCAACCCCUAGACUUGGUCACGACUGGACUUAACAUCAGGGAAAUACCUUUACCUAAACCCCUUUUUUUCUCUGCACUUGAAGUGUAAUAUAGUUUUCCUAAUUUUUUCUACUCUAAGUGUGUGACAUGUUUGUGGGAGAUAUGCAUUUCCUGAAAAGAAAUAAUAUCAUAAUACCCUUUUUGAAAUUGGAGCCAUAAUCCUUUUCUUUUAUUUGGGCUGUUAAGCCCAUUGACAUUGUUUAAGUAUAUUUUAAUCUUUUGUGAUGGUUUCUUCUUCUAUUUCUUUAUCACUGUCUACCAUUGGGUUUGCCAUUGCCAUAUCCAUUUGUGUGAGAUAAUCUUUGGGGGAUUUCUCUCUCAUCCUUUUCUUUUCUCUGCCGCAAAUUUCGUCAUAAUUAUCAUCUCCUGUCAUUCCAUCACCUUUCUGAUACUUUUCGUGUUUUUCCUGGCCAUCUCUCCCAUUUUUAAUAUUUUUUUGUAAAAUGCCUUUGCUCUAUAUUCUGAUGUAAGCCAAUGUUUAAUUCCCUCCCAGGUGACCAUAAGUCCCUCUCUUUUCUCCUAUUUAAAUCUCACAUUUCUUUUCUUUAAUUCAUCCAUUAAGAAAGUAUAUUUUCGUUUCCUUUCUAUAACUGACAAAGGGUUUUCCUUUAGUAUUGCUACUUUGUUUCCUUUGUAAUAUGUUGGUGUUAUUGCAUUUUCUUUUAGAACUUCAUCUCUUAGAUUUUUCCUGCCGAAGUCUUGGUUAGACGUCUCUUGGUAUAUUAUGCAUCUAGCAUAAUUGGUUUGUACUCUAAAGACUCUGUCUAUACUUCCUUCUAAUUCCUCAAUUGUUUUUUGGGUUAUUUGUGUUAUCAUUUCCAUAAUUAUAUCACUAAUGUUUUCCUUUUCUUCUUCCAGUAUAUUCCUAAACCUCAGUUAGUAUUCUUUUUCCUUUGCCUCUAAUAUCUCCUGUUGUUGUUUAAGUGCCGCAACUGUUUUUUCCAUUACAUUCAUAUGGAUAUUUUUCCAUAUCCUUUUGUUUUUUCUGUAAUAUAUUAUUCUCAUUGAUACAGUCUUUAUUUCCUUGUUUUAUCAUUUCUAUGUCUUUUUGAGCUGAUUUUAGUUCUUCUUUUAUAGUUAACUAUAACUCCUCUUUCAAUUCUUUCUUUAUCUCUUCCAUCUGCUCUUUAAUUAAAUUGUAUUGCCUAUCCUGCUUCUCUUGCAUUUUUUGUACCUCUAUUUGAUUUUUAAAAAAUUUCCCUCAUAAUGUCCUUCAUAUUAAAUUCCUUUGUUAUUGAAUCCUUCCUCCCUUGAGUUCCUUGAAUUUUCUUUUCCUUAUCACUUUCUAUUUUAAAUUUUGGUGUAGUCAUUCUCUUUUUCUUUAUAAGUUUAAUAUAUGUUGUCCUUGCCCCUCCACUAAUACUAACGUUCAAUAAUUUGUGUCCCAGGAGGAGCUACUAAUUGGCUGCUCGAGCAGUGGGCUGCCUGUUCUAUUCACUGCUACUAGGGAUUUUUUUAAAGGGGAACCAAUCUAAAUGCUUAAGGUGUUUAAAAUUUAAAACAAACAAAGGGAAGAUCUAACCUACAUAUUACAAGCCCUGUGUAUUAAUAGAACUAAUACUAGUUCCAGCAAUAAUUAACCUGCACUGUUCGCAGUCUCUAAUAAUUUUAAGAGGAUCAAAUCUAAAAGCUUAUGUCAAAGGUCAGACGCCAACUGAGAGCAAAAUAUAGUUUAACUAACAAUUCAAAAAUAGCUCAGUAAAUUGUCAAAGGCUUAAAACACUUAAUCUUCAGUGUUAUUAAGCAGUCAAAACAGAAAAAAAUGCCAAAAACAUGAACUGGCAUAUAAUCCGGAGUAACCAGAGAUAUAAUCCGGAUUUAACAUAAAGUACUUGAACUCAGCCCAAAGACACAAAACGGGCUAAAAAUGGCAAAACAAACAAAGGUAAUUCACCGCAAAGCCCCAAAACCCAGGAGUACAGCAGCGAUUCCAAACUGAGGCAAAAACCCAAACCGGGUUAAAGGCUCUUCGCCGAAAGCGGCACAAACAAACAAACCUGGAAAAUGCUGAGGAGUUAGCGGCAAGCCGCUGCAGAGACGAAAGCCAGACCAGGAGCCAAAGGAGCAUAGUGUUGUAGCGAAGUCAAGCUGGUCCGAAGUCGGGAUAAGGGAACAUUCCUCAUCAGAAUCAACAUCAUCCUGCCCACACCCCACUCUGUCCACACCUGUGGAACUACCCUGAUUCCUCCAGGCAGGCCAUGUGGGAUCUGCUUCUGAAGAUACCCAAGCCUCUCCAGCAUCCACAACCUCCAUGGACCCAGAUUCCUCCCCAAGAUCCUUCGGAGCCUGUGCCCAAUCUAUGGCAACUUCCUCUGUCACCACUGGUUUCUCGGCAUCCAUUUCCAGCUCAAGAUCCCCUCCCAAGUCCCCACAUGAAUCCUCCUCGGACGACUCCCCAUCAAUCUCCCUUAAUCUCUUCCUGUGUAAAUCUUCCAGCAAGCCCUCCUCAUGAGGGUUCUUCCUCUCCUAAUCUCUCCAUUAUCAUUCACAGCCUCAGAAGACUCAUUCACAACAACUUAUGGUAUUUGAAACUCAAGAGAAACAAUGGGUGGGUCUAAUCUUCCUAUUGCAAAUCCUGUGUAUCUUGUGAGAAAUAGUAAUUAACCUCAAGAGUAGCACAGUUAGUGCAGUUGAUACUAGUUCAGUUAAUAGGCAACCUGAACUGUUCGCUGUCUCUAAUAGAUACCGGAAGUCCCGCUAUGUUCCGUUUUGUCUUCCUGUCACAAACGGAACCAGUCUGCUUCAGAACUGCAUUCUCAUGGCAAUGGUGUAAACCAAGGGGCCCCAGACUCCAGGGAAGUGAUGCCCCCCCCCCACCAAAUUUGAAACCAGUGUUAACAAAUUAAUGAACAAUUAGAAGAAAUAAGAGUCCAACACAUUAUACAGGCCUCCAAAAUCAAGACCAGAGGACUUCUUGGAAAUCAAUCAAUUUGUGGAAAAACAUUAAAGGGAUACUGCAUCCCCUGUCUGAGAAGGGACUUUCAGAGCCUGAGAACAGACACUGGGAAGGUUUUGUCCCAUGUUUCUACCAAAUGGGCCCAUCAGUUACAAGUACAUAUUUCGUUGGUGCUCACAGCCAUUUCUAAUCCGAAGACCCGGCAUUGUCCAUAGACACCUCCAAGGUCAUGUGGCCGGCAUGACUGCAUGGAGCGCCAUUACCUUUCUGCCGGAGCUGUACCUAUACACUGCCCUAUACCCCAGGAUCUGAUCCCAGAUUGUUUUCUUAUCCCAGAUUAUCUGGCAGUGUAGACUCAUAUAAUCUGGUUCAAAGCAGAUAAUCUGGGAUAGGAUCCUGGACUAUAAAGCAGUGCAGACCCAGCCUGAUUGCUCUAAAAGUAAAGGUUUAACACUCAGUGAGAACUGUAAGGAGAAGAGAGAUCCCCAAUUAUUUUAGAAGAGCUUCCUUUUGAAUAGGAAGUUGGGUGCAUUUUUGCUGCUGCACUCUGGACUCCCUGCCUUCUGGUCAAGGUUUGUAUGGUCUAAGGCUGAGAGAGUGUGACUUGGCCAAAGUCACCCAGUAGAUGCAAACAACUGGAUCCAGAAAUAUUUUGAUAUUUGGGGGAGCCAGGUUGUGUAGUGGUUUGAGCCUAGAGACCGGAGUUUACAUCCUGCUCCACCGUGGAAACCCACUGGGCAACCUUGGGCAAGUCACAGUCUCUCAGCCUCAGAGGAAGACCGAGGCAAUCUAAACCAAUUUUGCCCAGAAAAGGUUGUGACUGUAGGUUCCCAAGGACUUGAAGGCACAUAACAACAAGGCCUCUUUAUCAGGAUGGAACAGGAUGAAUGGGAAAAAAUUGAUCAGAGGAUUAUAUAUUUAAAAAUAUAUGAUAACGGAGGAAGAUGGAAGAAAGGAGAAGGGGAAGAUAUAAAUGCAUUUUGCCCCAAACCUCCAACUUUAUCUAUUCAUGUUUACCGCGUUCAAUUCCCUACCCAUAGCUAGUUUUUUAAUAAGAGUGUAAUAAGACUUCCUUAUCAGCAGGGUUUACUUCCGAGGACCACAGAGUAAAAUCAAUGCCAUGAGGGGUUUAUCUGCUUUGAACUGGAUUAUAUGAGGCCCCUUUUACACAGCCACAAAAAUCCAAAAACUGAAUUAUAUGGCAGUGUAGACUCAUAAAACCUAGUCCAAAGCAAAUGAUGUGUAUUCUUUGCUUUGAUAAUCUGGAUUAUAUGGCAUUGUAGAAGGGGCCUGAGUUUACACUGCCAUAUAAUCCAGUUCAAAGCAGAUAAUCCGGAUUUUAUAUGGUAUUGUAAGAGCCUCAGAGAUACUUGCUUACACUUAACUUAGUAAAAGUUUAGGAUUUAUGGUAUGUAGGUGAAUUUCCUUCUGAAGUCUAAUGUCGGCCCCAUGUACACUGACCAUUAAAUGUCUUUCAAACUCAGAGGUAUUUUUGCAAAUUUGGUGCUAAAUUUGUAAAUAUAGUAUUUCCUACAUAACAUUACCAUGUAUUGAACUGCUUUUUCUGUCGUUUUGUUGUAAAACAUGAUGUUUUGGUGCUUAAUUUGUGAAAUCAUAAUGUAAUUUGAUGUUUAAUAGGCUUUUUCUUAAUCCCUCCUUAUUAGUCAACAUUUUUGCUUAUCCAAUGCUUUUAUUUUUCAGUGAUUGGUUUGGGGGGAGCACCAAAAUUCUGUUUGCCUACACUUGAAAAUUACCUAGGGCUGGCCCUGGAGGCACAUCAAUCAGUUCUGGAUGGGGUUACACUCUCCAUGAAAGACUGUGGUUUCAGCUUGGGGGAUGGGGGUGCGCCCCUCGAUCCAUCUCUUAAAGUGUAUGAACAGCACUUCUGGAUGGUAUCAGCCCCAUAGCCAAGCUGGGAUGGAAGAAGCGAGGGCCUCAUUCAAGCAGAGUCCUUUUCACCGGGUACCCUGACUAGAGGAGAAGGAGGAACAUCUGUGGGUAUGGGCACACGAUGG
Molecule: long non-coding RNA, 9728 nt
Organism: Anolis carolinensis (green anole)
Lineage: Eukaryota; Metazoa; Chordata; Lepidosauria; Squamata; Anolidae
Exons: 4
Source: RefSeq, a predicted model, not a curated record